CCUACGGGUGGCAGCAGUGGGGGAUAUUGCACAAUGGGGGAAACCCUGAUGCAGCUACGCCGCGUGUGGGAAGACGGUCCUCUGGAUUGUAAACCACUGUCCCCAGGGACGAAGAUGACGGUACCUGGGGAGGAAGCUCCGGCUAACUACGUGCCAGCAGCCGCGGUAAUACGUAGGGGGCGAGCGUUGUCCGGAAUUACUGGGUGAAAAGGGAGCGUAGGCGGGACUGCAAGUUGGGUGUCAAAUCUACCGGCUCAACCGGUAGCCGCACUCAAAACUGCAGUUCUUGAGUGAAGUAGAGGCAGGCGGAAUUCCUAGGGUAGCGGUGAAAUGCGUAGAUAUUAGGAGGAACACCAGUGGCGAAGGCGGCCUGCUGGGCUUUUACUGACGCUGAGGCUCGAAAGUGUGGGGAGCAAACAGGAUUAGAUACCCUGGUAGUC
RNAcentral lists this ribosomal RNA (440 nucleotides) under uncultured bacterium. RNAcentral's name for it is "partial 16S ribosomal RNA". It matches the Rfam family "Bacterial small subunit ribosomal RNA", at positions 338 to 795 of the family's 1533-position model. The record is from RNAcentral.